Non-coding RNA from Lactuca sativa (garden lettuce), 3515 nucleotides. The record is from RefSeq and is a predicted model, not a curated record. NCBI's taxonomy places the organism in Eukaryota, Viridiplantae, Streptophyta, Magnoliopsida, Asterales, Asteraceae.
UUCUCCAUACAUCGUUUCUAAAUAAAAAAAAUUACUAUCUAAACGUCCUACGAAACCUUAUUCAUCUCGCGAUGUGUUUUUCAACGUAACGGAUUUCCGCAGCAUCCCGGAGAGUCCAAAACCUAGUUUAUUCUUAAGCUUAUAAACUCGAAGCCGACUCUUCUACAGAAAUCGUCUACCGCCUCCAACAACAGGGUGUAGAAACGGCUAAAACAAGGAGUAUAUAUGACUAGAGACCAGAUCAGUCAUGAUGAGACUUGUGAUAGCGGUGGUGUGCAAUUGUGGUCAGAUCUUAACCAUGAUGUGCUGCUUUUAGUUAUGAUGCGAUUGGGAGUCAUUGAUUUUCUUUCGUUAUGUGGAGUUUGCAAGUCAUGGAGGUCAUUCGCACUCUCCAACUGGAAUAGGUUUAUGGCAUCCAAACCACCCAUGUCCAUGAGUAUAUCUGCUAACGUUAAUGAGAGAGAAGAGCGUUACCUCUAUCUAGAGGACUUUGAUGGAAGAAAUUUCAAAACCAUUCUUCCCCGUUUGUUUGGAGUGGAUUUUGUUGGGUUAAGUUGUGGUUACUUGGCGUUUUAUGGGAAGGAAACGCAUGAAUUUUGGCUUGUGAAUCCUAUCACAAGGCAUCAACUUCAUUUCCCUCAUGUCCCCUUUGAUGUCGAUGGUAUUGUGUAUGGAAGAGUCAGGCUUAUUCUUAUGUUUUCACCUUCUAUACCAGGGUGGGUAUUGGUUGUGGAAAAUCAACUCUGUGAUGAAAUAUGGUCCUCAAUAGCGGGUAAAGGAGCAUGGAAUCUUGUCUCAUCCCGUUUCCCUUUCCACCUCUUUGAUUUUCAUGCUUUCAUGGGGAAGGUGUAUGCCAUAAGCUACACAAUUGGAAAAAAAAAGAUAUAAAUUUCGAUUAUGUAAAAUGAGACUCGAUCCACGUCCCAAAUUGACUUUACUUGAAACCAAGAAUUAUCCGGACACAAAUGAUCUGCCGUUGUUUGUAAGUUCGGGAGAAAACCUUUAUAUGAUGCACUAUAUUUCAGAAGACUGGUAUGAUUUUCACGAACUAGAUUUUGGUGAAAUGAAAUGGGUGUCCCUCGAAAAGACAAGAGAAGAGUAUGCAUUUUUUUGAACUGCUGGAAUAUGCAAGUAUGUGUUUUUAGACCAGAGUCGUGGACUGGCCCUUGGUUAAAGUACAAGAGAUAUGGUGGCACUAAGAACAUUACCAAAGACAAUUGUGGGUUCUAUACCACAAAGAUGUGGUACUUCCCCCAUGAAUGUUUGAAUGUUAAUCUCAUACAUGUGUGAUGACUUGUUAAAACUCCUUUCUCUGUUUUUAUCUUUGCAUAUGUUGGAACAUUUUCAAGAUAUUGAGAAGCACCAUUCGUUGAUUGGGAUUUUUAAAGAUGUGGUACUUCUCCCAUGAAUGUUUGAAUGUUAAUCUCAUACACGUGUGAUACUUUGAUCCCUUUCUAAAGUAAUGGGCUUGUUAAUUACAUGUACCAUGUAUAAAAACAAUAUUAAAUUUCUGUACAGUUUAUAUUUAUAUAUUUAUAAUAAACCAACCAAAAGCUACAAAAAGAUAAUCUACCUCUACCCUACCUAAUAAAGAGUAGCUCCUACCUAAUAAAAGAAUAGCUUUAUGUACACAUGUAUUUUUUUUCCUAAUUUACACUUUUUUUCACACAAAUUCUAAAAAUUACACGUGUCAUGUAUUCCCGCUCAGAAUAUUGAAAUCAAUCUAAUCCGUGUAAUAUCUCUCAUAAUCUUUUAGCUACAAAUCAGGGAUUACCUAUCAAAAAUUAAUCGGAACAAAUUUGAAGACACUAUCUUCUCUCUCAUCCACGGUUUUGUAGACAGAUGGAAACAAUUGACGUUUUCCAAAGUCAUGCCGAGAAAUCAGGUUUCAAAUAACCGGGAUUUUCGUCUUGAUUACCAAAUCUCCCCAUUGUCAAUCUCUCAAUUUAUAGUUUUCCUUAACCAUUGAACCUACAGUUUUUCUUCUUGUAUUCACUGUUAACCUAGACGAAUUGAAGACUUGCAAUUUCAAGUUGUUAAUCUCGAUUUUAGCAUUUACAAUUCAUUGUUUUGAUUUAGGUUUCUUGAAGUAGAGAAUCCAAAACGUGCCACUGCUUUGAAAUCUUACCAAAGUGAUUCAUGUCAUCUCCUACUAUAGAGUCGCAUCAGGACUUGUCGACUUUUGGAGGAAAGGGCAAUAUGGUCGACCACACAAAAAGCUUCAAUUGAAGCCAUCGAAAGAAAAUCAAAGUCUUAUAAUGCUGAGAUUGCUUUGUUAACAGAUAAAAUAUCAUAGGUGAGGAAUGAACCAGAGGCCUGCAGAGAAACAUACAAUAUCAUCAAUGAAAAGCUGGCUAUUGCAGAAGAAAAGUGGAAAGGGAGAAAUCAUGCAUAUUUGCCCUUAUAUCAUUCAGGGUUUUUCAAGUUUUAGGCCCAAGGGCAUUUUUGUCUUUUGACACGUACAGUAUAGAGAAAUCACUUGAAAUUGAACGACGAAAGAGUGAUCUUAUACUACUUGAUGAUCAGAAGAAAACAUCAGAAUAUAUAAGUUUUAUAUUUAUUUUUUUAAUUUACAUAUAACCUUAUAAGGUUAUAUUUUUUUCUUUUUUUGUAAAUUCACACAUAUGAAAAAAAAAAAGUUUUAGAUAUUGAAAAGAAAACCAAGAGUCAAAUUUCUAUUAGUAAAGUGACAAAAAAUUCAGACGGUCAAAUAGUCAUCAGUUUUGUAUCUCAUACCCUGUAAGGGUAUUUUCGUAAUAUUGUAAAUUCAAAAAAAAUGAAAGAAAAUAAAUAUAGAAACUAAAAAGUAAACCAAGAGUCGAAUUUCUAUUAGAAAAAUGAUAUAUUUCAGAUGGUCAAAUAGUCAACAAUUCUGUAUAUCCACAGAACUUACUGAAUCAAAUUGUUAAGAUGACAAAACAAAAAGAGAGGUGUUAGUGGUUCAGAUUCAGGAAAAACAAUUGCUCAUGGAAACAUGUAAUAGGUAAAAAGUAGAAAACCAAAGUUAGUUGCCAUUUUUGGAUUUUUCAUUUAACUUAAUUUGUUUUUUAUAUGUAUUUUUACCAGCUUUUGAAUACAAAAGCUAAAGUUGAAGAGUUGAGAAUGAAACUAUCUGCCCUAGAAGCCAAAACCCACAGUGUAAGUUCCUUUUCUCUUAAUAAAUGUUUUUUGACUUUCCAAUAAACAUGUUUACUUUGACUUUGACUUUAAAAGGUUGAUAUAGAGAGGGUGAAAUUGAGAAAGAGGUUAAAUGGAGCACAAAAAAGGUUGGAUGGAAUGAGAAUGAGAGGUGUAAAGAAGAAAUAGAGGAGAAAGAAUUCAGGAAUAAAAAGUUUGAAGAGGCUGUUGCAAAACUGAAAACAUGAACCCUAAAUAGCACCUUCUUAUGAAAGAGUAAUAAUCAACAAUACAAUAUUUGUAAAUCAAAUAAAAUACACACAUCUUGUAUCAUUAUUGUGUUGACUUGAUCAUCUCCUAGAUUGUUAAAGUUAGAACUUUAGAAGAAGGAUAAUAAA